Molecule: long non-coding RNA, 854 nt
Filed under: Populus trichocarpa (black cottonwood)
Lineage: Eukaryota; Viridiplantae; Streptophyta; Magnoliopsida; Malpighiales; Salicaceae
Description: long non-coding RNA (PTRI_LNC000915)
Source: RNAcentral
UUGAGCUCUGUGUCCAAUAAUAUAUUCGCUGACUUGAUAUUCUUAUGAAUAAUAGAUGGCGAACAAACUUCAUGCAGGUACCUGAAGAAAACCCUUUGAGUAUCAGGAAGCUCGUCACUAGUAUCAUAGAUAAGUUACCACUGAUUUAUGAAGGUCUCGGUUGCAAAGGUUGGACUCUUUCCCUAUCUUUUGGUAAGUUCUAGAUUCCAACAUCAAAAUUCUUUAACAAAAGUCUAGGCCAUGUCCUGCAUCUUAGAAAGAGUGAGGACUGUUCACGUGGAGUAGAAACAGAUAUGCCAAAGCAACUUCUUCAUAUGCAAAGGUUUUAGAUGCUCAGAAAAUGAGUUGAUAAAAAGUUCACCUUGUUUUGCUGGCCUCAGGUUUUUACAUUAUUAAAAUUCAUACCAUGGAACUAAAUAGUUAAUGAUUAUCAUUUUUGUUGAAUCAUUCAAGUGGGCGAUGACCCAAUCCCUUUUCCCCAAUAUUUGAAUAAUAAAGCAGAUGAUAGAUAACGGGGAAGAGAAUGGAGGACGUGUUCACUUUUUUUUUUGGCACAAUUUGAUGUUAGUGAGAAACAAUUAGAACUAUAGAAUUCCUUUUCUGAACUUACUCCAAUGCCCGAGCAGUCCCCAGAGCUAUCUUGACACGGGAAUUCCAUAUCAAAGGUUUGCUGUACUCAUCUGAUAGAUGCAAGAAGUCAUGCAGUGAGCCAUUUUUAUGGAACUCAUAGACCAGCAGAUGCUGUCCAUGCUCUGAACAAUAACCCACUAGUUCUGUCACGUUUGGAUGAUGCAACAAGGAAAUGCUUGAAACCAUCUCCAUAAAAUCAUCAGACAUAUGGCUGGGCAGAAUGC